GUGGGUAGUUUGACUGGGGCGGUCUCCUCCCAAAGCGUAACGGAGGAGCACGAAGGUUAGCUAAUCCUGGUCGGACAUCAGGAGGUUAGUGCAAUGGCAUAAGCUAGCUUGACUGCGAGCGUGACGGCGCGAGCAGGUGCGAAAGCAGGUCAUAGUGAUCCGGUGGUUCUGAAUGGAAGGGCCAUCGCUCAACGGAUAAAAGGUACUCCGGGGAUAACAGGCUGAUACCGCCCAAGAGUUCAUAUCGACGGCGGUGUUUGGCACCUCGAUGUCGGCUCAUCACAUCCUGGGGCUGAAGUAGGUCCCAAGGGUAUGGCUGUUCGCCAUUUAAAGUGGUACGCGAGCUGGGUUUAGAACGUCGUGAGACAGUUCGGUCCCUAUCUGCCGUGGGCGCUGGAGAAUUGAGGGGGGCUGCUCCUAGUACGAGAGGACCGGAGUGGACGCAUCACUGGUGUUCGGGUUGUCAUGCCAAUGGCACUGCCCGGUAGCUAAAUGCGGAAGAGAU
This 505-nucleotide ribosomal RNA is filed under the name Klebsiella pneumoniae. Its description in RNAcentral is "partial 23S ribosomal RNA". It matches the Rfam family "Bacterial large subunit ribosomal RNA", at positions 2261 to 2765 of the family's 2925-position model. Lineage: Bacteria; Pseudomonadati; Pseudomonadota; Gammaproteobacteria; Enterobacterales; Enterobacteriaceae. The record is from RNAcentral.